RNAcentral lists this microRNA precursor (196 nucleotides) under Oryza nivara. RNAcentral describes it as "MIR812 microRNA precursor family". It matches the Rfam family "MIR812 microRNA precursor family". The record is from Rfam by way of RNAcentral. Lineage: Eukaryota; Viridiplantae; Streptophyta; Magnoliopsida; Poales; Poaceae.
AAAAAGGCAAACCCUGGUUUCCGUGUCCAAUGUUUGACCGUCUGUCUUAUUUGAAAAAAUUAUAAAAAAAAUUAAAAAGACAAGUCACGCAUAAAAUAUUAAUCAUGUUUUAUCAUCUAACAACAAUGAAAAUACGAAUUAUAAAAAAAUUUCAUAUAAGACGGAUAGUCAAAGUUGGACACGGAAACCCAUGGUU